GACGAACGCUGGCGGCGUGCUUAACACAUGCAAGUCGAACGGAAAGGCCCUGCUUUUGUGGGGUGCUCGAGUGGCGAACGGGUGAGUAACACGUGAGUAACCUGCCCUUGACUUUGGGGUAACUUCAGGAAACUGGGGCUAAUACCGGAUCGGAGCUCCUGCUGCAUGGUGGGGGUUGGAACGUUUCGGCGGUUGGGGAUGGACUCGCGGCUUAUCAGCUUGUUGGUGGGGUAGUGGUUUACCAAGGCUGUGACGGGUAGCCGGCCUGGGAGGGUGACCGGCCACCAUGGGCCUGCGGGACGGAGCAGACGCGAACGGUGGGCAGUAGUGGCGAAUCUGGCACAAUGAGCGCAAGCCGGAGACAGCAACCCUGCGGUCGUGAUGCCGGCUUGCGGGGUGUAAACCGCUGUCGCCUGAGACGAAGCUGUAGUGACGGUAAUGGGUGAAGAAGCACCGGCUAACUACGUG
RNAcentral lists this ribosomal RNA (468 nucleotides) under uncultured bacterium. RNAcentral's name for it is "partial 16S ribosomal RNA". It matches the Rfam family "Bacterial small subunit ribosomal RNA", at positions 28 to 507 of the family's 1533-position model. The record is from RNAcentral.